ACUUCCUCACUUCUGAACUAUGUUCCUGACAUCUGGAAACCAUUAAAAACUGGGGAAAAAGGAAAAUGUUCAAAGAAGCAGAAUCAGUUGUCUUUUCAAGCUUCAUGCAUUGGGAAAGUCCUUCUGUCAUCCACCCAAGGAAGACACGAGAAAAAGUGGCUUACAACAACAACAAAGAAAUGAUUCGUCAGGUAUAGAGAGGGCUUACUCCUGUGUCUAUGGGUUGACCAGGCCCAAAUGGAUUCCAUGGACAAGAAGAAAUGAUAUACACAAGAAUUGGUUAAGUUGGGCACCACAAAAGUUUGCAUCCUCCAGAAAAGUGC
This is a long non-coding RNA of Marmota monax (woodchuck), 323 nucleotides long. RefSeq lists it as uncharacterized. The transcript has 3 exons. Lineage: Eukaryota; Metazoa; Chordata; Mammalia; Rodentia; Sciuridae. The record is from RefSeq and is a predicted model, not a curated record.